This 221-nucleotide unclassified non-coding RNA is filed under the name plant metagenome. RNAcentral describes it as "partial contains small subunit ribosomal RNA, internal transcribed spacer 1, and 5.8S ribosomal RNA". The record is from RNAcentral.
UUUCCGUAGGUGAACCUGCGGAAGGAUCAUUCAAAAUUAGUGUUUUAUGGCCCUUUUUCAGUCCAUAUCAACCUUGUGUGCAAUGUUGUUUUGUAACGCGAAUGCUUGUCAUUUGCGCUGCAGGAUGUAACCAUCAAAUCUUAUUUUUAACAACUUUGUCUGAAAAAUUGUAUGAAUACUUAAUUCAAAUACAACUUUCAACAACGGAUCUCUUGGCUCUC